RNAcentral lists this ribosomal RNA (896 nucleotides) under uncultured bacterium. RNAcentral's name for it is "bacterial SSU rRNA". It matches the Rfam family "Bacterial small subunit ribosomal RNA", at positions 28 to 916 of the family's 1533-position model. The record is from RNAcentral.
AUUGAACGCUGGCGGCAGGCCUAACACAUGCAAGUCGAGCGGUAGAGAGAAGCUUGCUUCUCUUGAGAGCGGCGGACGGGUGAGUAAUGCCUAGGAAUCUGCCUGGUAGUGGGGGAUAACGCUCGGAAACGGACGCUAAUACCGCAUACGUCCUACGGGAGAAAAGCAGGGGACCUUCGAGCCUUGCGCUAUCAGAUGAGCCUAGGUCGGAUUAGCUAGUUGGUGAGGUAAUGGCUCACCAAGGCGACGAUCCGUAACUGGUCUGAGAGGAUGAUCAGUCACACUGGAACUGAGACACGGUCCAGACUCCUACGGGAGGCAGCAGUGGGGAAUAUUGGACAAUGGGCGAAAGCCUGAUCCAGCCAUGCCGCGUGUGUGAAGAAGGUCUUCGGAUUGUAAAGCACUUUAAGUUGGGAGGAAGGGCAUUAACCUAAUACGUUGGUGUCUUGACGUUACCGACAGAAUAAGCACCGGCUAACUCUGUGCCAGCAGCCGCGGUAAUACAGAGGGUGCAAGCGUUAAUCGGAAUUACUGGGCGUAAAGCGCGCGUAGGUGGUUCGUUAAGUUGGAUGUGAAAUCCCCGGGCUCAACCUGGGAACUGCAUUCAAAACUGACGAGCUAGAGUAUGGUAGAGGGUGGUGGAAUUUCCUGUGUAGCGGUGAAAUGCGUAGAUAUAGGAAGGAACACCAGUGGCGAAAGGCGACCACCUGGACUGAUACUGACACUGAGGUGCGAAAGCGUGGGGAGCAAACAGGAUUAGAUACCCUGGUUAGUCCACGCCGUAAACGAUGUCAACUAGCCGUUGGGAGCCUUGAGCUCUUAGUGGCGCAGCUAACGCAUUAAGUUGACCGCCUGGGGAGUACGGCCGCAAGGUUAAAACUCAAAUGAAUUGACGG